Bolinopsis microptera is the source of this 920-nucleotide long non-coding RNA. RefSeq lists it as uncharacterized. The transcript is spliced from 3 exons. NCBI's taxonomy places the organism in Eukaryota, Metazoa, Ctenophora, Tentaculata, Lobata, Bolinopsidae. The record is from RefSeq and is a predicted model, not a curated record.
AGGAAUGAAUUGAAGCUACGAUCUGAAGUAUGUGCCGGAGAGAUGACCAAUAAAGUAACCUAUAGUGAAAAGCUGCUGUAAUUAAACGAUUACAUCUAAUUAGUAUAAUUGGUUAAUUGGUAGAUAAUUAGUUGAUAUGGGGAGAGUGAAGGAAGCGAUGGAAGAGGCUGGUAUUACUCCUGGUAAAGUGGGAGCUUGUCUUCUUGUCCAUGAGAUUAUUGGUAUUACAGUUAUGGUUGGCUCGUGGGCUGUGUGUUACAAACUUUUAAAACAUAACAGCGCUAGACGAACUUUGGAGAGAUUAUCACAACAUCGCACUUACAGUACCGGCAAACUGUGGGUAGAGAAGAGGUUCAGUGCAAUUACCAGACAUUCCACACAACUAAACACAGAACACUUCAUUAUAGCAGGCGCUAUGUCCACAGUCCUUAGAAAGAUUUCUUCUCCGGUUUUAGUUCCCGGUAAAAUACUUCUCUCUGUCUCAGCGGUUAGGUAUUUGUAUUCUUCAAAAGAGUUGGAGAUUAGGUGAGAUUCAAGAGAUAAUUUAUAGAGAGUAAGUAUUCUUCAGAUAUAAUCUAGAUGAUUUUGUGCUGACGAGUUAACUAAAUAACUGAAACAAUGUAAAACGGAGAGUUGGGCUAUGAACGAUUUUCUGAACACUUCCUGAAUAUUAGAGCCUUCAUUCCUGAAAUCAGCUGAUAAAUUUAUAUAUUAUUAGUAUCUAUAAUUAUUUAUCUAUGAUAUGAGAUAAUAAUAUGAUGACUUGCUUUGAAUAUGUUGACUUUUGAGGUAGAGACCCUUUUUAUAAUUUAUUUUAUUUGACUUAUCAGAUAAUGAUUAUCUGAGAUAAUAUUAUCUGUUCGAGAUAAUUCGAAAGCAGAAACUAUUUUAACUGCUCCUGAUAUGACUUGAUAAUUUAU